AUCACAAAAGAUAGGUGCACACCCAUUUGUUUUGAUUGCAUCGCGUAACAUGACAGAUCGGCGAAAACCGCGAAAAAAUGUCAUGGACUCGAAGAUAGCAGGGUCCUUGGCCGAAAUGAGGAAAGGGUA
Caenorhabditis elegans is the source of this 129-nucleotide non-coding RNA. The record is from Ensembl. NCBI's taxonomy places the organism in Eukaryota, Metazoa, Nematoda, Chromadorea, Rhabditida, Rhabditidae.